This is a non-coding RNA of Acanthosepion pharaonis, 102 nucleotides long. NCBI's taxonomy places the organism in Eukaryota, Metazoa, Mollusca, Cephalopoda, Sepiida, Sepiidae. The record is from the annotation of a GenBank genome assembly.
GACGUUGAAGCACCGGUUCUCGUACGAUCACCGAAGUUAAGCAACGUUGAGUCUGAGCAGUAACUAGAUGGGUAACUGCUUGGGAAUAUCAAGCGCUGUAAG